Molecule: ribosomal RNA, 424 nt
Filed under: uncultured bacterium
Lineage: Bacteria
Description: bacterial SSU rRNA
Rfam family: Bacterial small subunit ribosomal RNA
Source: RNAcentral
AGUGAGGAAUAUUGGGCAAUGCCCGCAAGGGUGACCCAGCAACGCCGCGUGGAGGAUGAAUGUCGUAAGAUUGUAAACUCCUGUUAGAGGGGAAGAAUAGUACCGGUUGGACCGGUAUAUGACUGUACCCUCAGAGAAAGCCCCGGCUAACUACGUGCCAGCAGCCGCGGUAAUACGUAGGGGGCAAGCGUUGUCCGGAUUUACUGGGUGUAAAGGGCGCGCAGGCGGGAUAAAAAGUCAGUGGUGAAAUCCUACAGCUUAACUGUAGAACUGCCUUUGAUACUUUUAUUCUUGAGUUCGGGAGAGAGAGACGGAAUUCCAGGUGUAGUGGUGAAAUACGUAGAUAUCUGGAAGAACACCAGUUGCGAAGGCGGUCUCUUGGUCCGACACAGACGCUGAGGCGCGAAAGCGUGGGGAGCAAACA